UAAAAAUAAAAAGGUAAUACCCCAGGAGAAACCUUUGCUUAUUGACGGCCUCUUUUCUAACCAAAGGAACUUGUUAAAGGAUCGAAACUACCCGUUUAUUUUCUCUUUUCUUUAAAGCUCUUAUACCGUCGUCUUAAGGAAAAGCUUAAUGGGAGUCUCCAAAAUUAAUUUGUUAAUUAAGUCAGAUCAAGGUGAAGCCUAUAGGAAAGCACUCAAUGAGUUAUUCAUAAAAAAGAUUUAAGGAAAUCUGCGCAAACCCCCUUAAUUAAUUAAGAUUUGAAAGUACAUCUUCAUCAGAAUUGCAAGUGGAAUUUGAAAAAAAAGGUGU
RNAcentral lists this ribosomal RNA (328 nucleotides) under Teyl sp. 1 MGR-2023a. Its description in RNAcentral is "partial small subunit ribosomal RNA". The record is from RNAcentral. Lineage: Eukaryota; Metazoa; Arthropoda; Arachnida; Araneae; Anamidae.